ACAUACAGUCAGACUCCUGAACAUUUAUAAACUCAGCCACAUCUUGUUCAGCAGUAGUGACUUGUUCAGUUAGGGACUGUUGUGGUAGAUGAGAUUCCACUUCAUCCUGAACUUCCUCUUUAAGUUCUUGAACUGCCUCAGUAGAAUCUGUGACAUCAGCAUCAACUGAAAAAUGGAAAGGAUAAAUCAACUGAUUAUGGUGUGAAAAGUUAAUAGGAUACGGACCUGUGCUGGAUUU
Molecule: long non-coding RNA, 238 nt
Filed under: Mytilus galloprovincialis (Mediterranean mussel)
Lineage: Eukaryota; Metazoa; Mollusca; Bivalvia; Mytilida; Mytilidae
Source: RNAcentral